GAGUUUGAUCUUGGCUCAGAGUGAACGCUGGCGGUAGGCCUAACACAUGCAAGUCGAACGGCAGCACGGUAAGAGCUUGCUCUUACGGGUGGCGAGUGGCGGACGGGUGAGGAAUACAUCGGAAUCUACUUUUUCGUGGGGGAUAACGUAGGGAAACUUACGCUAAUACCGCAUACGACCUACGGGUGAAAGCAGGGGAUCUUCGGACCUUGCGCGAUUGAAUGAGCCGAUGUCGGAUUAGCUAGUUGGCGGGGUAAAGGCCCACCAAGGCGACGAUCCGUAGCUGGUCUGAGAGGAUGAUCAGCCACACUGGAACUGAGACACGGUCCAGACCCCUACGGGAGGCAGCAGUGGGGAAUAUUGGACAAUGGGCGCAAGCCUGAUCCAGCCAUACCGCGUGGGUGAAGAAGGCCUUCGG
This 418-nucleotide ribosomal RNA is filed under the name uncultured microorganism. RNAcentral's name for it is "bacterial SSU rRNA". It matches the Rfam family "Bacterial small subunit ribosomal RNA", at positions 9 to 421 of the family's 1533-position model. The record is from RNAcentral.